Molecule: ribosomal RNA, 406 nt
Filed under: uncultured bacterium
Lineage: Bacteria
Description: partial 16S ribosomal RNA
Rfam family: Bacterial small subunit ribosomal RNA
Source: RNAcentral
AUUGAACGCUGGCGGCAGGCCUAACACAUGCAAGUCGAACGAGUGGCGGACGGGUGAGUAAUGUCUGGGAAACUGCCCGAUGGAGGGGGCUAACUACUGGAAACGGUAGCUAAUACCGCAUACCAUCGGAUGUGCCCAGAUGGGCUUAGCUAGUAGGUGGGGUAAGGGCUCACCUAGGCGACGAUCCCUAGCUGGUCUGAGAGGAUGACAAGCCACACUGUAUCGGAGCCGCGGGCCAGACUCAUACGGGAGGCAGAAGUGGGGAAAAGUGUACAAGGGGCGCAAGCCGGAUGCAGCCAUGCCGCGUGGAGGAAGAAGGCCUUCGGGUUGUAAAGUACUUUCAGCGAGGAGGCGUGACUCGCAGAAGAAGCACCGGCUAACUCCGUGCCAGCAGCCGCGGUAAUAC